CCAGGACUGGAUAAACCACUGGCCGGUUAAAUGAAAGUAAUGCUACUCCUGCAGAAUAGCAUGCGAAGAAGUGACAGGUACCAAGUUUGUUUUUCUUCUGGACUCUCCUGCCUCCGACACUGAAGACUCUCCACACCUUCAACUUCUGCUGUUUCAGAUGAGUCAAUGAAAAAGGGUUUUUAAGACCACAGGGAAGACACAUAAAAUAAGAUGAUUGGUAACUUUCUGUGCAAUAGCAGUUGUAUACAAGACGACAGCCCUGUUGGAGCCUUCCUGGUCUUGGCACUCACCAGGUUGCUGUGUCUGGGCGGCCUCAUACACAAGGUCUAUACAUCUUUAAGCUCCAAGACACACAACCAUGACCGUUGACUGGCUUGGCUCCCGUUUCUAUCAGUCGUGU
Molecule: long non-coding RNA, 400 nt
Filed under: Struthio camelus australis
Lineage: Eukaryota; Metazoa; Chordata; Aves; Struthioniformes; Struthionidae
Description: lncRNA (ENSSCUG00000014938.1)
Source: RNAcentral